AUGCCGGACAGGAGAGAAGCGACCCUGCUCGAGGACCUGCCUGAGGAAAUCAUUGACAAGAUACUCAAGGGAUUGCCGCCAAAGGACGUCGGCCGCUGCCGCGCUGUUAGUACAUUGUGGCGCAGUAUCACCUCCAUACCUGAAUUUAUGCUCGAACACCACCAGCGCCAGCCAUCGCUCCCCAUCAUCGACGGGCGUGGGCGGCCUGCCAGUUUCGUUCUCUUCCGAGGCGCUGGCACCAACGCCUCCAAUCAACAGCUCUGGCCCUUCAUCCCGGGUCUCAGUCACUACCAUUUAAAGCCUUCGCUCUCAGUCACCUGUGAUGGCUUCCUCAUCCUCAUACAGCAAAAGAAAUUCUACAUCUACAACCCGGUCAUGCGCAAGCGUGCUCUCCUACCGUACCCUCAAGCUGGGGAAAACGAGUGCAGCAACAUAAUCGGUUUCUACCGGCACCAGCUAACUGGAGAAUACAGGUUGCUCUGGACCACAUUCCGUCCUCUCUCAGUGGUUAAAUACAGCUUAUACGUUCUCACAGUGGGAUCAGAUGUGCCGAGGCAAGUCAGAGUAAGAAUGCCAACAGUCUUGUCACCUUCCGCAGAACAUAAGAUACUGGGGGCACUGUCCUAUUCGAACUAUUGUCCACCACCAGUCCACCAUGGUGGCAGCCUGCACUGGUGUCCUUUUCCCUUUUGUGGUGUCGCCGACAUUACUGGAGGCAGCGGAGACAUUGUUGUGUUCGACACAGAAGCAGAGUCAUUCCAAUGGAUGCGCACUCCUGACCAGGUGUACCCUAAUAGGAAGUUGUUCGACAUGAAUGGGGCGCUUGGUUUCUGUGGCAGCUCAACCAAGGGUAAGGCAGGAGGUUGUUUGAGUUUCACUGCUUUGGAUAUUUGGAUGAUGCAGGAUUACAAGGCCGAAAUCUGGGCUUUCAAGUACCGGAUUGAUCUGCCAACGGUUGAGGCAUCACGGCAACUUUAUUUGACUUCUCGGAAAGGGAAAAAGAAAACACCGCUUCACUCAACAGUGCAAUGGUUCAAUGAUAUGGCUGUGCUUAACGAGCGUGAGCUGCUGAUCAUGUUUAAUGGUAAACAUGUGUUGCGCUGCGACACUGAUGGCAAGGUCUUAGGUUUGGUGAACAUUGGAAAGAGUCAAUACGUUAUUAUGGCUAAGAAGCAACAAUGGCACUGUUAUGAUGAGAUUUUCAGUGAUUGCCAAAAAACAAAAUAA
RNAcentral lists this ribosomal RNA (1227 nucleotides) under Triticum aestivum (bread wheat). RNAcentral describes it as "partial small subunit ribosomal RNA". The record is from RNAcentral. Lineage: Eukaryota; Viridiplantae; Streptophyta; Magnoliopsida; Poales; Poaceae.